UCUAGAUAUCAUGAAACUUGUAUGUGUCACCUCUAGGAUAGAGCUGAUUUGAUAUAGGUUGAAUUUUUAAAAGAUAUCAAUAAAUGGACCAAUCCAUGGGGAUCUAAGAAGGAAAGAUGAUGUAUGAAUGAGAAGUCAAUAAAGACUGAAAAAAUUCUCCUGAAUAUUACCUUAUCAGGAAACCCUGACUCAUAGGGCUUCUAAUUUGCACUCCAUAGCAAUCCCUGACUCUCAACCCUUCUGACACUCGCUGUCCAGGUGAAUCCAUAGCCAAAGCCAAGGACAUAUCAGCAAUUUCGACUUGGUCUCUGGUCUCAUUGGUCAACAGGCAAGAGCUACAAUAGAAUAUGUACUUGGACUCAGGCUCAGAAAUUACCAAACUGUCAUAACUGACCCAAAGAUGCUUCCAUGGAAAGCACGUCCUUCACCAUAAGUUGCUUUUGUCUGUUUUUCAACAUUAGGUAAGUGAAAUAUGCAGUGUAUAUAUGUCCACUUUCUUUCACUGAACCAUUUAUAAAGUGUGUGCAUAUUAUUAAACAUACAAGUUGUUAUUUUUCAUUGCUAUAUAGUGUUAUUUUGGAUGAAUAUACCAC
This 593-nucleotide long non-coding RNA is filed under the name Pan paniscus (pygmy chimpanzee). RNAcentral's name for it is "lncRNA (ENSPPAG00000044590.1)". Lineage: Eukaryota; Metazoa; Chordata; Mammalia; Primates; Hominidae. The record is from RNAcentral.